AUGGCCGACACCGACGGUGAGGAGAGCUGCUGGACGCCCGCGGCCGCCGCCACCUCCAGCCACGGCGGCGACGGGGCGCAGCUGUCCGGCGUGAGGAGGGAGAUCUACGACCGCCUGCGGGCCGCCGGCAACCAGGAGGCGCUCUCCGACCCCUUCUUCGACCGCUUGCUCGAGGACCACUUCGAGCGCCUCCCGUCCAGCUACUACGUCGACCUGGACGUGAACAAGGCGGAGGACGUGCUGCUGCACCGCCGGAUCCUCGCCGAGUGCGCCGACCCCGACAACCGCCCCGUCUUCCACGCACGCUUCCUACGGUACCUUCAAGAGGACAAACCUGCAGGAGGGAUACACAAAUUCACCUUCAUGAAAUUAUUUUUUGUUCCAAUGACAAGCGAACGCUCCUUAGUCAGCUAUGUUGGCUGUUGUCCGAUCUUGGAUUGA
Molecule: ribosomal RNA, 441 nt
Filed under: Triticum aestivum (bread wheat)
Lineage: Eukaryota; Viridiplantae; Streptophyta; Magnoliopsida; Poales; Poaceae
Description: partial small subunit ribosomal RNA
Source: RNAcentral